CAAUAUUUCUGAAGUCUCACUUUCCCAAUAUUUCUGGAGUCUCACUUUCCCAAUAUUUCUGGAGUCUCAAUGUCCCAAUAUUUCUGGAGUCUCACUUUCCCAAUAUUUCUGGAGUCUCACUUUCCCAAUAUUUCUGGAGUCUAUUUCCCAAUAUUUCUGGAGUCUCACUUUCCCAAUAUUUCUGGAGUCUUCUCAUUUCCCCAAUAUUUCUGGAGUCUCACUUUCCCGAUAUUUCUGGAGUCUCAUUUUCACAAUAUUUCUGGAGUCUCAUUUUCACAAUAUUUCUGGAGUCUCACUGUCCCGAUAUUUCUGGAGUCUCAUUUUCCCGAUAUUUCUGGAGUCUCAUUUUCACGAUAUUUCUGGAGUCUCAUUUUCCCGAUAUUUCUGGAGUCUCACUGUCCCGAUAUUUCUGGAGUCUCACUUUCCCGAUAUUUCUGGAGUCUCAUUUUCCCGAUAUUUCUGGAGUCUCACUUUCCCAAUAUUUCUGGAGUCUCACUGUCCCAAUAUUUCUGGAGUCUCACUGUCCCAAUAUUUCUGGAGUCUCACUGUCCCAAUAUUUCUGGAGUCUCACUGUCCCAAUAUUUCUGGAGUCUCACUUUCCCAAUAUUUCUGGAGUCUAUUUCCCAAUAUUUCUGGAGUCUAUUUCCCAAUAUUUCUGGAGUCUCACUUUCCCAAUAUUUCUGGAGUCUUCUCAUUUCCCCAAUAUUUCUGGAGUCUCACUUUCCCGAUAUUUCUGGAGUCUCAUUUUCACAAUAUUUCUGGAGUCUCACUGUCCCGAUAUUUCUGGAGUCUCACUUUCCCGAUAUUUCUGGAGUCUCAUUUUCCCGAUAUUUCUGGAGUCUCACUGUCCCGAUAUUUCUGGAGUCUCACUUUCCCAAUAUUUCUGGAGUCUCACUUUCCCAAUAUUUCUGGAGUCUCACUGUCCCAAUAUUUCUGGAGUCUCACUGUCCCAAUAUUUCUGGAGUCUCACUUUCCCAAUAUUUCGGGAGUCUCACUUUCCCAAUAUUUCUGGAGUCUCAUUUUCCCAAUAUUUCGGGAGUCUCACUUUCCCAAUAUUUCGGGAGUCUCACUUUCCCAAUAUUUCGGGAGUCUCACUUUCCCAAUAUUUCGGGAGUCUCACUUUCCCAAUAUUUCGGGAGUCUCACUUUACCAAUAUUUCGGGAGUCUCACUUUCCCAAUAUUUCGGGAGUCUCACUUUCCCAAUAUUUCGGGAGUCUCACUUUCCCAAUAUUUCGGGAGUCUCACUUUCCCAAUAUUUCGGGAGUCUCACUUUCCCAAUAUUUCUGGAGUCUCCUUAUCCCAAUAUUUCUGGAGUCUCCUUAUCCCAAUAUUUCUGGAGUCUCCUUAUCCCAAUAUUUCUGGAGUCUCACUUUCCCAAUAUUUCUGGAGUCUCACUUUCCCAAUAUUUCUGGAGUCUCACUUUCCCAAUAUUUCUGGAGUCUCACUUUCCCAAUAUUUCUGGAGUCUUCUCAUUUCCCCAAUAUUUCUGGAGUCUCACUUUCCCAAUAUUUCUGGAGUCUCAUUUUCCCAAUAUUUCUGGAGUCUCAUUUUCCCAAUAUUUCUGGAGUCUCACUUUCCCAAUAUUUCUGGAGUCUCCUUAUCCCAAUAUUUCUGAAGUCUCAUUUUCCCAAUAUUUCUGGAGUCUCACUUUCCCAAUAUUUCUGGAGUCUCCUUAUCCCAAUAUUUCUGGAGUCUCCUUAUCCCAAUAUUUCUGGAGUCUCCUUAUCCCAAUAUUUCUGGAGUCUCACUUUCCCAAUACUUCUGGAGUCUCACUUUCCCAAUAUUUCUGGAGUCUCACUGUCACAAUAUUUCUGGAGUCUCACUUUCCCAAUAUUUCUGGAGUCUCACUUUCCCAAUAUUUCUGGAGUCUCACUUUCCCAAUAUUUCUGGAGUCUCACUUUCCCAAUAUUUCUGGAGUCUCACUUUCCCAAUAUUUCUGGAGUCUCACUUUCCCAAUAUUUCUGGAGUCUCACUUUCCCAAUAUUUCUGGAGUCUCACUUUCCCAAUAUUUCUGGAGUCUCACUUUCCCAAUAUUUCUGGAGUCUCACUUUCCCAAUAUUUCUGGAGUCUCACUUUCCCAAUAUUUCUGGAGUCUCACUUUCCCAAUAUUUCUGGAGUCUCACUUUCCCAAUAUUUCUGGUGUCUCACUUUCCCAAUAUUUCUGGAGUCUCACUUUCCCAAUAUUUCUGGAGUCUCACUGUCCCAAUAUUUCUGGAGUCUCAUUUUCCCAAUAUUUCUGGAGUCUCACUUUCCCAAUAUUUCUGGAGUCUCACUUUCCCAAUAUUCCAAAAUGGCGGAUUAUUUCUGACUUACCAGUUCCGCUGAAAUCCGGGAUCAUCUUUCCCACCAGGACGUAAAUGUUGCCAGAAGUAGUCUUCAGGUGUUUUGUUGAGAUUCGCUUUGCAAUAAGGUUGCUGUGCCAGGGCAUCUUGUUGUCCCUUGGUGGAAAGCAUAGAGGCAUACUAAGUAAGUGAAUCAAUGUUUGCUUUUACAAAAAUAAUGUGUUAGUGAACUUCAUAUGAUUCCGAGAAACAAAUUCUACUUACUCACGGACACCAUCCACAUAAAACAUGUCGUUCCUACUCUUCAGGAGCCAGUGUCUAAGGUGAAUCCCUGUAACCUAUCAAGCAAUAGACAUUAAAUAGUUAUAUAGGUAGAUAUCUAUGGUUAUGCAAGUCCUGAUAGAAAACUUAAGUGCCAUACAAGAAAACAUUACCUCCCAGCAAAAAUACAAAGCUAAAAGCAAUGAACUCAGAGGAAACAGCAUCAGUCAUCAGCCUACAAAUCCAAAGGAAGCAGCAUCAUCAAAACCAUCUACUUACAUUGGAUCCAGUGGACUCUGCUAUGUGCUUGGCUUGGAAUACAGCCUCCUGCUUCUUGGGGAUGGAGAUCUUCGGUGAGACCUGCAGGAGGGGGUCGUGCACCAGGUCUGGGAAGGGCCUGGGGGGAGGCUUGUCACGGUAAACCUCACACUGACUGAGGCCGGCAUCUGGCCUCAAUGGAAUGCUGGUCUCUGAUAGACCAGUGGGCACACUACAGGUCACGUUCACACCGGUGUCCUCUCCGGUGCCCCCGGCGGGUUGUGCAGGGGUCGACACGCUGCGCUCACAUCCUGUAAAGAGGUUGAUAUUUUGUUUGUUGAGUCGACAUCACAGGUUGAUAACAGUUCACUUAUGGUGCUUGAGUCAUUAGAAUCAGAAUAACAGUCCCUACUCUACAUUUCUAGCUGUCACCUUUCAUGGGAUCCUGCAGGCUGCUCACUUGAUAGCCGUCUUGUUGGUCCCUUUUUAGUCUUCUCUCUUUCAGAAGAGCAAACGUUUUUGCUCUAGAAUCCAGGCAUGGCAGUCUAUCCAAAACAACUUCGGACCCUGGGCAGAAAACAGAAACAAAUCAUUUUACUUCUCAAAGUCAUAAAUUAAAGUAUUCUGACAACCAAGCAACCUUGAUUGACACAAUAAUUUAGGAUAAUUGAAACAACUUACUUAAAACUGAUUCAUCGUGUACAAUGUUGUGUGCCCCAAUUUCAAAUUUUUCCAUUGACUUCAACCUUUUCACUGGUGUACUUAUGUUGGUUGUCUGGGAGACACGUUUGAAGUCUUUGAGGGGUGCUGGUUGUUGGGUGUCAUUUGAGCUGAGCAGAGUGUGCGGGUAUGACAAAGCUUUCCUUUGGGACUUUGUUGAGAAAGCAUCCAGAGCUGGGCCUUGCUUUUGUGCAUUUAUGUUGGUUGGCUUGAACGCACUACUACCCAUGUCUUUCAACGGUGACUGUCGUUGAAGGUCUUGUGGGUGGACCAUAAAGUGUGAAUGUGUCAAACCCUUGCUUGGCGAUUGAAAAGGUGAAAGGGUCUCUGCCUCAUAAGUGAAUUCAAGGUCCUCGGUUUCCUUUUGUUCAUAGUUCACCCAAUGCUGAUGUCGUUUUCUAGGCGAGCUCAUUACUCCACCAUGUUCUUCUUGGAUUCGCUUUUCUCUGACAUGUUUUUCUCUCACGGGGUUAGGCGUUUUGGUCCUCUCGUUCUCAACCGGUAUUAUCUCUGCCUGUACUCUAGCUUUCAUCCUCGCAAAUACCUUGGCUGGGCUUUCAACGGGUUCCCUGGAUAUCAGCUCGCUUGUCACAAAAGCCUUCAAUGCAGGGAAAAUAAUUCGGUCUCUACCAACUGGAUCUUCUUCAUGAAAACAAGUUGCUUCUCUGUUGUGUCUUGACGGAGUAAACAUGUUUUCACCAUCGAUUUUUUACGAUAUGUAGAGGAAUGUCAACUGGAGCCACUGAAGUAAACUAGCUAACUAUAUGCAACCACGAUCUGAUCAUUUCAAAAUGGUCCAUUGAUUGCUGGUUUCUAUGGGGGGGAAACAGAAGAUAAUUAUUUAUUUGCUGGAAUCUGGUUAUACUAGGCUAGCUGGCUGCUAUAGCUUACAACGUAGUGUCGUUGAAUUACGAGGUAGUAACAAAGUGACCAGCAGCUAGUUUACCCAGCAAGCUACUAACUAGCUAGCUAACUUUAGCUAAAAACUGAAAGCCUACGACUAGAUAACCAGCUAACAACGUUAGCCAGCUUGCUGCUAAAAUGACAUAUGCCGUUUCAAAUGUAAAUUGUUUGGUUGGCGCUUACUACGGAUUUACUCAAUAUGUAUUCUAUAUUACAUACUAUUUGUGAAUGUAUGCAUUGAUUAUAAACUGUAAAAUCGCUAACUAACGUUACUCACCGCAGAGAUCCAUAAUUUGAAUUUACCUCGAAUGUCCUGUGAUUGGUCGGCGAUUUCAUAUGCGUCACUUCCGCAAACAACUUCCGUUCACCGAGAUGGCCUUAGAACGUGCUGCCAAAAAGAAAAACAAAAUGUGCGCAUAUAGUCGUAUAAUGUAGUGGGAUGUUUACUGUUAAACGAUUUUUCCUGCGGAUGCCUGCAGGAAAGAAGAACAACAUUGCAGCAAUUGCUUAGAUAUGGCAUUUCGUACGGUUGGAGAUGCACAGCUACCUUCGGAGAUAUGGGUCCACGUGUUUGGAUAUCUGUCAACGACAGACAAACUAAACAUUAGAUCAUGCUGCAAAUAUUUCAAAAAGAUGGUUGACCACUGGUCCCUUUGGAAAGGCAACACAGUGGUUCUUAAAAAGCUGUGUGCCUACACCUCGCAGUUCUGGACAACUCUUCGCCGCAGGAAAAUCAGCUCAGUUGUUGUACAGAAGGCAAGUUUGAAAGAAUGGAAACAGCUUGCCCUAUCACUCCCUUGGCUCACCACAAUAGCCGUGGAGCAUUGUUUCGACGUGAAAGCCUUUGAAAUUCUCAAGCAAUUUCAUAACUUGAAGAGGCUGGCUAUUCGCAGGUGUCGCUAUGGCCAGGGACUGUCUGAUGCAAUUGUGCCUCUGCAGCAAGUGACUCAUUUUAGUGUGUGCGAGAUGCACUGUGCUCCAAGAUCAGAUAUUAUUAGUGCUGUCUCAAAGCUCUCCCAUCUGACGUCUCUAUUCUAUCACGAAGGCAAUCAUCCUAUCCCAAGACAGAUAUUCCACCUAAUGCUUAACCGCUUGCCACAUCUGAAGCAUCUGUCUUUGAAAAUGGGAACACAACAUGGCUCUCUCCCAGAUGAUUAUUUUAAUAUUUCUAAAACAAAUGGCUUUCCAGAAGAUCCGCAGGUCGGCCAACCUGGCUUGACCAGUCUGGAGCUUCUUGACUACAUGGACCCCACCUUACCUGAAGAGGCGCUGAAGUGCCUCCCCUCCCUGCAGAGUCUAGCUGUGGACUACAGAGACAGGGAUGUGGAUCCCAGCAGGUGCCACCUGAAAACAUGGCUGAGGGAACUCCCUCAACUGGGAGUUCUCAACAUUGCAAAAGGCCAUCCCGUCAGUGCUUAUGCUCACUCCAUUCCCAACACAGUGACCAGUUUAACUCUGCAGCAGGUGAUGGUGGAGCAGAUGGACAUGAAGGCUCUAGGGAAACAGGCUUCAGGCCUCUUGUAUCUGCACUUUGAUCCAUGCAGCUAUAACAGCAGCAGCAGCAUCGGAGAGAUCCCCAAACUAUUCCCCCAGCUCAUGACCCUUAAAAUGAGACACUAUAAUGUACCAGAGCGGGAGUUCUUGAGCCUCCAACAGUUGAAGCAUUUGGAGCAGUUGGAGAUCCUUGAUGGACACAGUCUUAGUCCGCACCUUCUGCAGCUGAUCCGCAAGCUGCAGGUCCUGACCAACCACAGAACCCAAAUCAUCCAUUCUCUGGGCCCGAGAGAUCCCACAACCUGCUACUGUACUCACUACUAACAUUACGACUAAGAGGAAGUGAACACUGGUAGACUGUAGCCCAUGUUUUCAACAGCACAUGUUUAACAUUUGAAAUUAUACAAAACUGCUUGCUCAUCAUUUGAGGUACGUUUGCGAUGCCAACUUGGCUGAUGCAAAAUAAGGAAACAGCUGAAAUGUUGGUAAGUUUGGUAAGUCAAUACCUCUGAAGUCAGUAGUCAGACUCUUUGUAUAGAGCAAAACAACAAACAGUUCAUAACACAGGAAUAGCCAUUUUAUGCCAUACUUUUUGUUUGAAUCUGUUGUGUACCCUUGAUUGGGUUAAACAGAAUAAAUGAUUGUGCACAAAAAAACAACUUUUUUGAAAGAAAAUACAAUUGACAAUACAAUUAGCUUAUCAGUUUUAAGAUUGAUUAAAGAAACAUGUUACAGUUGAAA
RNA transcript from Salvelinus fontinalis (brook trout), 6659 nucleotides. RefSeq lists it as uncharacterized. The transcript has 4 exons. The record is from RefSeq and is a predicted model, not a curated record. NCBI's taxonomy places the organism in Eukaryota, Metazoa, Chordata, Actinopteri, Salmoniformes, Salmonidae.